RNAcentral lists this unclassified non-coding RNA (250 nucleotides) under uncultured Pseudomonadota bacterium. RNAcentral describes it as "uncultured proteobacterium partial 16S-23S ribosomal RNA intergenic spacer". The record is from RNAcentral. Lineage: Bacteria; Pseudomonadati; Pseudomonadota.
UUGCGGCUGGAUCACCUCCUUUCUAAGGAUGAUCCUUCAGGCAGCUUUGCUGCUUAUCGGAUCGUUUUAGAAACAUUCAGGGGCCAACAGAUCGCCAGAUCGUUGAGCUCCAUUGGCGGGACACCGCCGUCUACGUUUCUCUUUCUUCGCGGACGAACACGCGCCGGGGGCAGCGUCAGGGUAGGGUAUCGCUCAUAGCUGAUCCCGCUCGACGGUAAGCUCCUAGUCGUAGGGGCUUGUAGCUCAGUUG